Molecule: ribosomal RNA, 387 nt
Filed under: uncultured bacterium
Lineage: Bacteria
Description: bacterial SSU rRNA
Rfam family: Bacterial small subunit ribosomal RNA
Source: RNAcentral
GACGAACGCUGGCGGCGUGCUUAACACAUGCAAGUCGAGCGGUAAGGCCCUUUCGGGGGUACACGAGCGGCGAACGGGUGAGUAACACGUGGGUGACCUGCCCUCAGCUCUGGGAUAAGCCUGGGAAACCGGGUCUAAUACUGGAUAUGACUCCAUGACGCAUGUUGUGGGGUGAAAGCCUUGUGCGGCUGAGGAUGGGCCCGCGGCCUAUCAGCUUGUUGGUGGGGUGAGGCCUACCAAGGCGACGACGGGUAGCCGGCCUGAGAGGGCGACCGGCCACACUGGGACUGAGACACGGCCCAGACUCCUACGGGAGGCAGCAGUGGGGAAUCUUGCGCAAGUGGGCGAAAGCCUGACGCAGCGACGCCGCGUGAGGGAUGACGGCCU